RNAcentral lists this ribosomal RNA (440 nucleotides) under uncultured Sphingomonas sp. RNAcentral describes it as "bacterial SSU rRNA". It matches the Rfam family "Bacterial small subunit ribosomal RNA", at positions 338 to 795 of the family's 1533-position model. The record is from RNAcentral. Lineage: Bacteria; Pseudomonadati; Pseudomonadota; Alphaproteobacteria; Sphingomonadales; Sphingomonadaceae.
CCUACGGGGGGCAGCAGUGGGGAAUAUUGGACAAUGGGCGAAAGCCUGAUCCAGCAAUGCCGCGUGAGUGAUGAAGGCCCUAGGGUUGUAAAGCUCUUUUACCCGGGAAGAUAAUGACUGUACCGGGAGAAUAAGCCCCGGCUAACUCCGUGCCAGCAGCCGCGGUAAUACGGAGGGGGCUAGCGUUGUUCGGAAUUACUGGGCGUAAAGCGCACGUAGGCGGCUUUGUAAGUCAGAGGUGAAAGCCUGGAGCUCAACUCCAGAACUGCCUUUGAGACUGCAUCGCUUGAAUCCAGGAGAGGUCAGUGGAAUUCCGAGUGUAGAGGUGAAAUUCGUAGAUAUUCGGAAGAACACCAGUGGCGAAGGCGGCUGACUGGACUGGUAUUGACGCUGAGGUGCGAAAGCGUGGGGAGCAAACAGGCUUAGAUACCCUAGUAGUC